RNAcentral lists this ribosomal RNA (427 nucleotides) under uncultured bacterium. RNAcentral's name for it is "bacterial SSU rRNA". It matches the Rfam family "Bacterial small subunit ribosomal RNA", at positions 355 to 774 of the family's 1533-position model. The record is from RNAcentral.
UAGGGAAUAUUGGACAAUGGGGGCAACCCUGAUCCAGCCAUGCCGCGUGAGUGAAGAAGGCCCUCGGGUUGUAAAGCUCUUUUGUCCGGAAAGAAAAGCUUCGGGUUAAUACCCCGGGGUUCUGACGGUACCGGAAGAAUAAGCACCGGCUAACUACGUGCCAGCAGCCGCGGUAAUACGUAGGGUGCGAGCGUUAAUCGGAAUUACUGGGCGUAAAGCGUGCGCAGGCGGUUUUGUAAGACAGAUGUGAAAUCCCCGGGCUUAACCUGGGAACUGCGUUUGUGACUGCAAGGCUGGAGUACGGCAGAGGGGGGUGGAAUUCCACGUGUAGCAGUGAAAUGCGUAGAGAUGUGGAGGAACACCGAUGGCGAAGGCAGCCCCCUGGGCCUGUACUGACGCUCAUGCACGAAAGCGUGGGGAGCAAACA